Long non-coding RNA from Oxyura jamaicensis (ruddy duck), 1621 nucleotides. RefSeq lists it as uncharacterized. The transcript is spliced from 4 exons. The record is from RefSeq and is a predicted model, not a curated record. Lineage: Eukaryota; Metazoa; Chordata; Aves; Anseriformes; Anatidae.
UAGACUUGAAUUUCUGAGCCUUGCACCUGUGAGAAUUAGAGCCCGCCCUUUCACUACAGCAUCCCAGGGACCAUGUUUCCUCCUGAGAUUUGAAAACAGGGGAGGACCAGCUUCUCACCACCUUGGCAAACCCUCCCAAGAGUGCUCUUGCAGGUGGAAACCUGGGAGCUGCUUUCCCCCGGUGCUGCCUCCUUUCCAGCAAGGUGCUUUCUCCCCGCGGAGCAAACGAUGCUCCGGAGCGCAGCGAUCUGGAUCGUGACUUCAAGCGCGAUCCUGACUGCGUGGCAGUGCCUGAACCGUUCCCAUCACAGGAGAAGCCACGGGGGGCUGUGACUCAGCCAUGCCUGAGUCACGCGUCCCCAUCCCGCCGUGCUCCCGGGGGACCGUGCUUCACCCCCACCUGUGCCUCUGUCGGCGAUGAACCACGGCUCAGGCCUUGGCUCUUGCCAGCUGCUAAGAGCUGGCAGCAGCGGCUGCACGUGUGAGUGCUGUGAAGAGCCUGCCCCUUGGAUCAGCCAGGUAAAGUCCUGUCCCAAACCCUGAGACGUGUGGCAUUUCUUAAAUAAAAGUAAUAAAUGUUCUCCUCUGAAGGAUUUUGAAAUAAAUUUGUAAAUACUGAAUUAAUUCAGCCUGUCAGCAUGAAAUGAGGUUUUGGAAAGCUAAAAGGUGCAGGUUUGUGCGCAUUAACUGUGUGAGCUAAAGCACAAAAGGAAAAUGCAUUUUCAUCCUUAUGAGGUUCUGUAAAUUGUAUUCUAUUCUUAGGAGAGUAAACAUAAUGUUUAAAAAAAAAAAUCUAAUAAUUUAAACCUUGCAGGAAAAGUUGCAGGAGCAAUAGGAACCUCUGAAAUGAUAAAUGUAUGAAUUUAUUCUACUGCCACUGUGGGGUUUUAAAUUAGUUUUAUUUUUCUCUUAUUUCUUCUGGUUGACAAGUUGUGUGGUGUUGCUAUCCAGUUAUAAUAUUUCUAGGUAAGAAAAUCUUGAAGGUCAAAAAUUCUGUUCUUAGUUAUUCUUGUAUAAGGUAAUGUUCUUGUGUCGGUGACAAUGCGGAAUGAUCUCAUGUCGCCAUGGGUACCUGAAUCAUGCAGAAAUCUGUCUAACAGCAGAGUUCUUCAUGAUUAUGCCCUCCCCUUAUUUUCUUGUAAACAACAAAAAAAUAGAUAUCUAUAAGAAAAGCUUCUUGUCUGACACAAAUGGACUGGAAGAAAUGCUCGUCUUAAGAAAACACAUCGUGCCAGUGGUUCAAUGGACUGCACCCAAGCAUAAUUCUGGGCAAUGAAUUAAUUUGUGCUCUGCUGCAACCAGAGAGAUUUUUGCCACUAAUGCUCCAAAGUGCAACCUGAGUUCAUCGCGUUAUUAGCGUGAGUUGUAACGGCUGUGCAUAGACAUUAAAACUGCCAAAUUUCAAACAGGCAGCUCUGUCCCCAUGGCAGCUUUGACAGAGGGGAUGUGAAGCAAUCUCAGCUGCAGAUGUAAAAGGACCAGCAGCAGGAAACUGGAAAACUGUUGAAUUCCAGAUUAUGGGGGAGAAGUGAGAGCAGCAUCUGCCCACAGCUGAUCCUAGAAGGGACACGGCAGGGAAGCACAGAAGCACAGUGAAAUUCGUGUGUGGGGGGGGGGGGAG